RNAcentral lists this ribosomal RNA (955 nucleotides) under uncultured Bacillus sp. RNAcentral's name for it is "bacterial SSU rRNA". It matches the Rfam family "Bacterial small subunit ribosomal RNA", at positions 527 to 1482 of the family's 1533-position model. Lineage: Bacteria; Bacillati; Bacillota; Bacilli; Caryophanales; Bacillaceae. The record is from RNAcentral.
GUAGGUGGCAAGCGUUAUCCGGAAUUAUUGGGCGUAAAGCGCGCGCAGGCGGUCCUUUAAGUCUGAUGUGAAAGCCCACGGCUCAACCGUGGAGGGUCACUGGAAACUGGGGGACUUGAGUGCAGAAGAGGAGAGCGGAAUUCCACGUGUAGCGGUGAAAUGCGUAGAGAUGUGGAGGAACACCAGUGGCGAAGGCGGCUCUCUGGUCUGUAACUGACGCUGAGGCGCGAAAGCGUGGGGAGCGAACAGGAUUAGAUACCCUGGUAGUCCACGCCGUAAACGAUGAGUGCUAAGUGUUAGAGGGUUUCCGCCCUUUAGUGCUGAAGUCAACGCAUUAAGCACUCCGCCUGGGGAGUACGGUCGCAAGACUGAAACUCAAAGGAAUUGACGGGGGCCCGCACAAGCGGUGGAGCAUGUGGUUUAAUUCGAAGCAACGCGAAGAACCUUACCAGGUCUUGACAUCCUCUGACACUCCUAGAGAUAGGACGUUCCCUUCGGGGACAGAGUGACAGGUGGUGCAUGGUUGUCGUCAGCUCGUGUCGUGAGAUGUUGGGUUAAGUCCCGCAACGAGCGCAACCCUUGAUCUUAGUUGCCAGCAUUCAGUUGGGCACUCUAAGGUGACUGCCGGUGACAAACCGGAGGAAGGUGGGGAUGACGUCAAAUCAUCAUGCCCCUUAUGACCUGGGCUACACACGUGCUACAAUGGAUGGUACAAAGGGCAGCGAAACCGCGAGGUUAAGCCAAUCCCAUAAAACCAUUCUCAGUUCGGAUUGCAGGCUGCAACUCGCCUGCAUGAAGCCGGAAUCGCUAGUAAUCGCGGAUCAGCAUGCCGCGGUGAAUAUGUUCCCGGGCCUUGUACACACCGCCCGUCACACCACGAGAGUUUGUAACACCCGAAGUCGGUGGGGUAACCGUAAGGAGCCAGCCGCCUAAGGUGGGACAGAUGAUUGGGGUG